Long non-coding RNA from Etheostoma cragini (Arkansas darter), 146 nucleotides. RefSeq lists it as uncharacterized. The transcript has 2 exons. Lineage: Eukaryota; Metazoa; Chordata; Actinopteri; Perciformes; Percidae. The record is from RefSeq and is a predicted model, not a curated record.
GUCAUAGGUUGAUGUGGCUGACGGGACUGGAUCCGGUGUGUGUGAACAGGGCUCCCAGUGUGAUCCCAGCUGCUCCCAGUACAGCCAGUCCAACCACUGUCCUCAGAGACCAGGACCAGGGCCUGACUGGAGGUCUGGACUCACCG